AUCUUCCUGGUGCACUGCCUCCUCAGCCAGCAGGUCCAGCAACAAUACGGGAAAUGGUGCAAAGGUGUCAGGAAAACCAAAGUGGAGUCUGAGAAGUACACGCUCUCCAGCAGGGCCGGGUCUGAGGCCUCCAGACACAGUGUGGAGAAUUAACUGAACAGAUAAACCAGAAGA
This is a non-coding RNA of Ceratotherium simum simum (southern white rhinoceros), 174 nucleotides long. Lineage: Eukaryota; Metazoa; Chordata; Mammalia; Perissodactyla; Rhinocerotidae. The record is from RefSeq and is a predicted model, not a curated record.